This 577-nucleotide ribosomal RNA is filed under the name Ivanacara adoketa. RNAcentral describes it as "partial 16S ribosomal RNA". It matches the Rfam family "Bacterial large subunit ribosomal RNA", at positions 1839 to 2611 of the family's 2925-position model. Lineage: Eukaryota; Metazoa; Chordata; Actinopteri; Cichliformes; Cichlidae. The record is from RNAcentral.
UUAUACAUAAGAGGUCUCGCCUGCCCAGUGACUAUAAGUUAAACGGCCGCGGUAUUUUGACCGUGCAAAGGUAGCGUAAUCACUUGUCUUUUAAAUAAAGACCUGUAUGAAUGGCACCACGAAGGCUUAACUGUCUCCUUUUUCCAGUCAAUGAAAUUGAUCUCUCCGUGCAGAAGCGGAGAUUUAUACAUAAGACGAGAAGACCCUAUAGAGCUUUAGGCACCGAACAGACUAUGUAAAACACCCUAGUAUAUAAGACAAAACUUAUUAGACCCUGUACCAAUGCCUUCGGUUGGGGCGACCGCGGGAAAAAUAAAAACCCCCCACGUGGACCAGGAGAACACUCUCCCACAACCCAGAAAAACAACUCUAAGUAACAGAAUAUCUGACCAAUAAAAUGAUCCGGUACAACCGAUCAACGAACCAAGUUACCUUAGGGAUAACAGCGCAAUCCCCUUCUAGAGUCCAUAUCGACAAGGGGGUUUACGACCUCGAUGUUGGAUCAGGACAUCCUAUUGGUGCAACCGCUAUUAAGGGUUCGUUUGUUCAACGAUUAAAGUCCUACGUGAUCUGAGUU